AUUGAACGCUGGCGGCAUGCUUUACACAUGCAAGUCGAACGGCAGCGCGGGCUUCGGCCUGGCGGCGAGUGGCGAACGGGUGAGUAAUACAUCGGAACGUGCCCAGUAGUGGGGGAUAGCUCGGCGAAAGCCGGAUUAAUACCGCAUACGACCUGAGGGUGAAAGCGGGGGAUCUUCGGACCUCGCGCUAUUGGAGCGGCCGAUGGCAGAUUAGCUAGUUGGUGGGGUAAAGGCCUACCAAGGCGACGAUCUGUAGCUGGUCUGAGGGGACGACCAGCCACACUGGGACUGAGACACGGCCCAGACUCCUACGGGAGGCAGCAGUGGGGAAUUUUGGACAAUGGGCGAAAGCCUGAUCCAGCAAUGCCGCGUGUGUGAUGAAGGCCUUCGGGUUGUAAAGCACUUUUGGCGGGAACGAAAAGGACUGUGCCAAUACCACGGUUCGAUGACGGUACCCGCAGAAUAAGCACCGGCUAACUACGU
This 483-nucleotide ribosomal RNA is filed under the name uncultured bacterium. RNAcentral describes it as "partial 16S ribosomal RNA". It matches the Rfam family "Bacterial small subunit ribosomal RNA", at positions 29 to 506 of the family's 1533-position model. The record is from RNAcentral.